UAUCGUCUCACACUGUGACGAAAAAUAAAUAAGAAACAAUGAUAUCAAGGUUAGAACUAAUCUAAUUGUAAAAUCUAAAACGAAAAAGAGUGAAAGGUAUACAAUCCUUAUUCUCUAAAGCCAGAUGCUGUGUGUAUAUUUCACUUAUCUUCCCUUUACUAUAUAUUACUCCAUCAAAAUUGUGGGAUUGUUUUAGGUAGGCUGGGUGGGGCGGGGAAGCGAGCAAAUGAGACACCUUUUUUAUGGCGCCAUCAACCCUCCAAUUGUGUGAAAGAGAGACUCUGCCCAAUCGUCUUUGAAAAGCAACUUUUGCAGUGUCUGUAGCACGUCGUAUUCAGGGUCCAGUUUCCGCUGCCAUCCCUCCAACACCAAAGUAGUCACAAUCACAGUGCAAAUGUUGCCAUCAAUGUUCACCCGAUGACGUCUAACUUGCUCAAGCAAUUGUUGCAUGCAAUCUGCCGGAUGAAUGCCAUCCCCUUCAGCUGUCUUCCAGAAGUCAAAAGUUCCCUCCACAUCCUUGAUGAAUUCCUCUGGGUUCGGACAGCUCUGUUGUUUAGAUAGUCCAAGAGUACUUUCUGCAGCAGUGCGGCCAUCUCGAAGUGCCACAGCCUUAAAGAACUCCAGCAGGAGGAGUCUGUCCUUAUUGGAUAGCUCAGCAGUCAUACCCACAUCAAGG
Molecule: unclassified non-coding RNA, 676 nt
Filed under: Hevea brasiliensis (rubber tree)
Lineage: Eukaryota; Viridiplantae; Streptophyta; Magnoliopsida; Malpighiales; Euphorbiaceae
Source: RNAcentral